UUGGGUUUAGAAAAUUUAAAGGGUUUAUGGUGACUUUUAAAUGAUUUGGGCUAAAACAGUUUUUUUUUUGUUUGAAUAUUCGACCUAAAUUCUUAAAUAUUAAUUAUCAAUUUUUUAUUAUUUCAUCUAUUUCUCAAUUUGUAAAUCGUAAUUCUUACCGAUUUGUGAAUCAAUUGAUUUUUUUUUUCGUUUUAGAUCAAUAUUG
This 205-nucleotide long non-coding RNA is filed under the name Gossypium raimondii (Peruvian cotton). Its description in RNAcentral is "long non-coding RNA (GRAI_LNC005727)". The record is from RNAcentral. Lineage: Eukaryota; Viridiplantae; Streptophyta; Magnoliopsida; Malvales; Malvaceae.